UAAAUUGAUGGCGACCGGCGCACGGGUGAGUAUCGCGUAUCCAACUUUCCCAUAACUAGGGGAUAAUCCGUCGAAAGGCGGUCUAAUACUCUAUGUUGUCUAUUUAUGGCCUCAUAUUUAGACGAAAGAUUUAUCGGUUAUGGUUAGGGAUGCGUCCGAUUAGGUAGUAGGCGGGGUAACAGCCCACCUAGCCUACGAUCGGUAGGGGUUCUGCGAGGAAGGUCCCCCACAUUGGAACUGAGACACGGUCCAA
This 253-nucleotide ribosomal RNA is filed under the name uncultured bacterium. RNAcentral describes it as "partial 16S ribosomal RNA". It matches the Rfam family "Bacterial small subunit ribosomal RNA", at positions 81 to 334 of the family's 1533-position model. The record is from RNAcentral.